Molecule: long non-coding RNA, 1670 nt
Organism: Saccostrea cuccullata (small rock oyster)
Lineage: Eukaryota; Metazoa; Mollusca; Bivalvia; Ostreida; Ostreidae
Exons: 2
Source: RefSeq, a predicted model, not a curated record
UGAAAAUUAAACUUAAUAUCUAUUAACCAAUAUUUCAUAACGACAAUGGUAAUGAAUAAUUUAGCAUAAUUUGGGUGUAUUAUCUUCACUUUAAGUAAAGUUAGACAUUAUUUUAUUGGUUCCUUGUAUUUAUUUUAUUUUUUUAAAAAGAUUUUUUAAAGUUAAAAUAUGACAUUAAAUAACAUAAAUAGAGUACCAAAAAAACCGCCCACUUUUUACAAUUUUCUAAGCGCCCGGGGCGGUUAAUAGGGAUUAUACAGUAUUUGAACCCUUGAAUCAUUUGUUUUAAUGCAAAAAGUUGUUGAAUUAUUAGUUGUGUAUCAUUCAUAAUUGUUUCCUCCAAAAAAGAUAAUAAUAAGUUACCUUCAUCUUUUACAGUACAUGCACACACGGCUUUAAAAAAUUAACAACUUAAAACUGAAUCACACUGAUAAUACUAUUUUAUACAAAUUCAAGAUGCAUGUACAUGUAUGUAGAUCACAAUACUCAAAUGUAUUUUGCAUUUAAAAUUUAAAGUUUUAUUUUUUUUACCACAGAAAAAAUCUGCAGACUGAGAUACUUGUACUGAGGAAAUACCUGCUGUUGAACAAAAAACCCAAGACUUGUUUAGGUAGAAACAACAAUAUGGUCGUCAGGAAUUUUUCUUGAAUUUCCAGCAUUUCCAAAAAUGCACCUUGCAGGCAUGGAUUGAUUGUUGUAGCUUAACACAUGUUACAAGAUUAUUUAACCCUGAUGAGAAGUCACAAGAUGCAGUGAAUGACACUUGGGAGCAAUGAGGAGUGAGGGUUCUUUAGUGUGCCAAUAUCUGCUGUUCCAACCUUUACUCUCUCUACCAAAAGACCUCCAACUUUACAGCACCAAAAUACAUGAUUAGCUACUGGGAAAAUUUUUACAUACUUUUCAUAUGUAACAAUAUUUAGGGAAUAACUAUCUUCUAAUUUGGUAUUUGCGACCGUUAAUGCUGAUUUAACGGUCGCAAACUGAGUUACGCGUCGCCGGUAAAACGGAUGUUUGCGACCCUUAAAUCAGCAUUAACGGUCGCAAAUACUAAAUUAGCAGAUUAGUUAUUCCCAUUCUAAUGCAAUACAUGCAUUUUUUGGUUGUUUACGUCUCAUUUUGAUGAAUUUUGUUACAAGAAAUACGUCACGGAGCAUUGUGUUUUUGCGUCGCUCUAUUAUGACGUCACAAUGAAAUAGCUUUCACGCUCGUUAAUGCUCGUUUUACUGCUUCAAACAUGAGCGCAUUAGCCAAUCAAAAAGUGUUUUACAAAUCUAUUGCAUUAGAAUGCAAGUUUACAGUGUUGUUCAAAUGUAAACAGCAUGUACAUCAUUUUUUAGAUAUACAGAUGUGAUGAAAUAAUUAGGAACUCUAGUUAGUGUACGGUUAGUUUUACCCCACAUGUAUAUAUGUUAUAUCUCAUAAAAAAUAGUUAAAAAAAUUAAAGUUUGAAUAUAAGGUAAAAGCUAAUACAUGUAGCUAUUUAAAAUGACUGAGUGAAAUCAUUAUAAACAAACCUAUACAAGUAAAAUAUUUUUGUAUAUUAAAUUUCAUCAAUACAUGUUUUGGAUACCGAAUGGUACUGUCUGAUUCACCAUAGUUAAAUCUGUCAUACCUGUCAUCAUUUUGUCCUGAAAUGUGAAAUACUUUAUUAAUAAAGUAUUUUACCUGUG